CAAAGAUGGAGAAUUUCGUGGCUUAAGGAGGGAGAUCGAAACAAAAAAAAAAAUCCACCGCAAGGCGGCGUGGCGAGCAAAAAAGAACAAGAUCAAUGGUUCAUAUGAUGAUGAUGCUUACCUAGAUUGGGAUAUAACGGUGAAGAAGAAGUUCAAUACCCAUAUGUUCAUACGAUGUUGAUGCUUGUUGACCUGGGCUGGAAGCCUACAUACGUGGACUUAGCUAUUGGCCAGGGUUCUAUAACGAUCUCUGGAUGUAUUUCUGCUACACCAAUUGAGAAACCUAUAGAUAUAGUUGAUGGGAUUCCCUUGGAGAUGCCACUGGUAUACUUCUAUGGCCACCCAAAUCCAAGGAGUACUUUUAUGGGAUUGCAAAUGAUCUGGCACCACACUCGAACAUUGUCAAUUUCAGUGAUGUCUCGGUGUACAGGAUUUGCGGUGGUCAUCAAACUCCCCGCUCAGCUUUGCCUAUCGGUGCAGAGCCUGUGGCAGAUCCUACUCGGCUUGUGGCUGUUAACAUCAGCACGGAUAUGAUCCAUACAGUGCUUGCUGAUUCUUAUGCUAAGGAACCUGAUGAAAUAAUUUCUAGCAAUGCUGCCGGAUUCAUUCAUGUCACAGAUGUUGACAUCCAAAGGAAGAAACUGACGUACAUUGCACCUUGCCCGGGAGACCUGCCAAGCAGGCUGUUGAUCGCGGAUUCGCAUGCUGAGAUGCUACAGUAAUUUACAGUACGCGUAUUCUCAUC
Long non-coding RNA from Phragmites australis (common reed), 745 nucleotides. RefSeq lists it as uncharacterized. NCBI's taxonomy places the organism in Eukaryota, Viridiplantae, Streptophyta, Magnoliopsida, Poales, Poaceae. The transcript is spliced from 5 exons. The record is from RefSeq and is a predicted model, not a curated record.